This 249-nucleotide long non-coding RNA is filed under the name Mus musculus (house mouse). Its description in RNAcentral is "long non-coding RNA chr10:59708789-59709038". Lineage: Eukaryota; Metazoa; Chordata; Mammalia; Rodentia; Muridae. The record is from RNAcentral.
GCAUCGGGAUGGCUAUCGUAAAAGGCUAGUUUUUCUGGCUAUAGGCAGUGUCUCUAGAUCCAAAGAGAGCACACAGCUGUUCUUAAAACUGAAGGUAGUCAUGCCUGAGAUGAAAGAGAAUUCUGCUUGGGCAAGAGCUGUACGCAUAUGUAUAAAGCAGAAAAACCACACAGCGACCCCUCCCUGGUAGAAAUUGGAUCAAAACCAGAAUGAUCUGGCGAAAGGUAACCAGACCCAUGAAACAGUGGC